AUAUCAAUAAGCGGAGGAAAAGAAACCAACAGGGAUUGCCUUAGUAACGGCGAGUGAAGCGGCAACAGCUCAAAUUUGAAAUCUGGCCCUCGGGUCCGAAUUGUAAUUUGUAGAGGAUGAUUUUGGUGCGGUAUCUUCCGAGUUCCUUGGAACAGGACGCCUUAGAGGGUGAGAGCCCCGUACGGUUGAAUGCCUAGCCUCUGUAAAUCUCCUUCGACGAGUCGAGUAGUUUGGGAAUGCUGCUCUAAAUGGGAGGUAAAUUUCUUCUAAAGCUAAAUAUUGGCCAGAGACCGAUAGCGCACAAGUAGAGUGAUCGAAAGAUGAAAAGCACUUUGAAAAGAGGGUUAAAUAGCACGUGAAAUUGUUGAAAGGGAAGGAUUUGUGACCAGACUUUUUCUGGGCGGAUCAUCCGGGGUUCUCUCCGGUGCACUUUGCCCAGUAAAGGCCAGCAUCGAUUUUCGGCGGCGGAUAAAAGCAGUGGGAAUGUGGCUCCCUACGGGGAGUGUUAUAGCCCAUUGUAUAAUACGCUGCUGGGGAUCGAGGUACGCGCUUCUGCAAGGAUGCUGGCGUAAUGGUUAUCAAUCACCCGUCUUGAAACACGGACCAAGGAGUCGAACAUUUAUGCGAGUGUUUGGGUGUUAAACCCUCACGCGUAAUGAAAGUGAACGGAGGUGAGAGCCCGUACGGGUGCAUCAUCGACCGAUCCUGAAGUUUUCGGAUGGAUUUGAGUAAGAGCAUAACUGUUCGGACCCGAAAGAUGGUGAACUAUGCGUGGAUAGGGUGAAGCCAGAGGAAACUCUGGUGGAGGCUCGCAGCGGUUCUGACGUGCAAAUCGAUCGUCAAAUCUGCGCAUGGGGGCGAAAGACUAAUCGAACCAUCUAGUAGCUGGUUACCG
This 895-nucleotide ribosomal RNA is filed under the name Pestalotiopsis parva. RNAcentral's name for it is "LSU rRNA". It matches the Rfam family "Eukaryotic large subunit ribosomal RNA", at positions 40 to 960 of the family's 3401-position model. The record is from RNAcentral. Lineage: Eukaryota; Fungi; Ascomycota; Sordariomycetes; Amphisphaeriales; Sporocadaceae.